GAUUGAACGCUGGCGGCAGGCCUAACACAUGCAAGUCGAGCGGAUGAAGGGAGCUUGCUCCUGGAUUCAGCGGCGGACGGGUGAGUAAUGCCUAGGAAUCUGCCUGGUAGUGGGGGAUAACGUCCGGAAACGGGCGCUAAUACCGCAUACGUCCUGAGGGAGAAAGUGGGGGAUCUUCGGACCUCACGCUAUCAGAUGAGCCUAGGUCGGAUUAGCUAGUUGGUGGGGUAAAGGCCUACCAGGGCGACGAUCCGUAACUGGUCUGAGAGGAUGAUCAGUCACACUGGAACUGAGACACGGUCCAGACUCCUACGGGAGGCAGCAGUGGGGAAUAUUGGACAAUGGGCGAAAGCCUGAUCCAGCCAUGCCGCGUGUGUGAAGAAGGUCUUCGGAUUGUAAAGCACUUUAAGUUGGGAGGAAGGGCAGUAAGUUAAUACCUUGCUGUUUUGACGUUACCAACAGAAUAAGCACCGGCUAACUUCGUG
Molecule: ribosomal RNA, 485 nt
Filed under: uncultured bacterium
Lineage: Bacteria
Description: partial 16S ribosomal RNA
Rfam family: Bacterial small subunit ribosomal RNA
Source: RNAcentral